RNAcentral lists this ribosomal RNA (460 nucleotides) under uncultured bacterium. RNAcentral describes it as "partial 16S ribosomal RNA". It matches the Rfam family "Bacterial small subunit ribosomal RNA", at positions 338 to 795 of the family's 1533-position model. The record is from RNAcentral.
CCUACGGGGGGCAGCAGUGAGGAAUAUUGGUCAAUGGACGAGAGUCUGAACCAGCCAAGUAGCGUGAAGGAUGACUGCCCUAUGGGUUGUAAACUUCUUUUAUAUGGGAAUAAAAUGUUCCACGUGUGGGAUUUUGUAUGUACCAUAUGAAUAAGGAUCGGCUAACUCCGUGCCAGCAGCCGCGGUAAUACGGAGGAUCCGAGCGUUAUCCGGAUUUAUUGGGUUUAAAGGGAGCGUAGGUGGAUUGUUAAGUCAGUUGUGAAAGUUUGCGGCUCAACCGUAAAAUUGCAGUUGAAACUGGCAGUCUUGAGUACAGUAGAGGUGGGCGGAAUGCGUGGUGUAGCGGUGAAAUGCUUAGAUAUCACGAAGAACUCCGAGUGCGAAGGCAGUUCACUGGACUGCAACUGACACUGAGGCUCGAAAGUGUGGGUAUCAAACAGGAUUAGAUACCCUAGUAGUC